Molecule: long non-coding RNA, 349 nt
Filed under: Capsicum annuum
Lineage: Eukaryota; Viridiplantae; Streptophyta; Magnoliopsida; Solanales; Solanaceae
Description: long non-coding RNA (CANN_LNC004626)
Source: RNAcentral
GACAUGGUAUUUUUUACUUAUGAAAUGCUCUAUAACUCUUAUCUUAGAGGUACGACUCAGCCCAAGGACCAUCAAACAACAAGUUAUGCCCCAUGGGCAAGAGUUGACACCAUCAUAUUGUGUUUUGAUUUAUGAGAUAUUCUAUAACUCUUUCCUUAGAGGAAAGACUUAACCCAAGAACUUUCAAAUAAGAAGUUACGCCCCAUGGGUAAAAGUUGACACUAUCUGUCAAAAUAAGAGGAAGAGGGAUUGGAAAAUAGUAAACUAAAAGAGUGAAAAUAAAGCAGCUGUAAACUGCAACAAAAAAGACUACAGUGAAGAAGGAGAAACUGAAACUUUUUGAGAGUUU